This is a non-coding RNA of Picea glauca (white spruce), 121 nucleotides long. NCBI's taxonomy places the organism in Eukaryota, Viridiplantae, Streptophyta, Pinopsida, Pinales, Pinaceae. The record is from Rfam.
ACAUGCCUACAGCAUAGAGUUAAUGCACUGGAUCCCAUUAGAACUUCGCAGUUAAGCGUGCUUAGGAUAGAGUAGUACUGGGAUGGGUGAUCGAGCGGGAAGUCCUAGUGUUUUACAUGCC